Molecule: ribosomal RNA, 345 nt
Filed under: uncultured Thermovirga sp.
Lineage: Bacteria; Thermotogati; Synergistota; Synergistia; Synergistales; Thermovirgaceae
Description: bacterial SSU rRNA
Rfam family: Bacterial small subunit ribosomal RNA
Source: RNAcentral
CUGCAUGGCUGUCGUCAGCUCGUGUCGUGAGAUGUUCGGGUUAAGUACCCGCAACGAGCGCAACCCUCGCAUCCAGUUGCCAUCGGGCGAGCCGGGCACUCUGGAGGGACUGCCGGCGACAAGCCGGAGGAAGUGGGGGAUGACGUCAAGUCAUCAUGGCCCUUAUGUCCAGGGCGACACACGUGCUACAAUGGCCGGCACAGCGGGAAGCGGAGGGGCGACCCUGAGCGGAUCCCCUGAAAGCCGGUCCCAGUUCGGAUUGCAGUCUGCAACUCGACUGCAUGAAGUUGGAAUCGCUAGUAAUCGCGGAUCAGCCAAGCCGCGGUGAAUACGUUCCCGGGCCUU